RNAcentral lists this ribosomal RNA (493 nucleotides) under uncultured bacterium. RNAcentral describes it as "partial 16S ribosomal RNA". It matches the Rfam family "Bacterial small subunit ribosomal RNA", at positions 27 to 507 of the family's 1533-position model. The record is from RNAcentral.
GAGUGAACGCUGGCGGUAGGCCUAACACAUGCAAGUCGAACGGCAGCACAGUAAGAGCUUGCUCUUACGGGUGGCGAGUGGCGGACGGGUGAGGAAUACAUCGGAAUCUACUUUUUCGUGGGGGAAAACGUAGGGAAACUUACGCUAAUACCGCAUACGACCUACGGGUGAAAGCAGGGGAUCUUCGGACCUUGCGCGAUUGAAUGAGCCGAUGUCGGAUUAGCUAGUUGGCGGGGUAAAGGCCCACCAAGGCGACGAUCCGUAGCUGGUCUGAGAGGAUGAUCAGCCACACUGGAACUGAGACACGGUCCAGACUCCUACGGGAGGCAGCAGUGGGGAAUAUUGGACAAUGGGCGCAAGCCUGAUCCAGCCAUACCGCGUGGGUGAAGAAGGCCUUCGGGUUGUAAAGCCCUUUUGUUGGGAAAGAAAAGCAGCAGGUUAAUACCCCGCUGUUCUGACGGUACCCAAAGAAUAAGCACCGGCUAACUUCGUG